GACGAACGCUGGCGGCGUGCUUAACACAUGCAAGUCGAACGGCAACGCCCUGCUUUUGUGGGGUGCUCGAGUGGCGAACGGGUGAGUAACACGUGAGUAACCUGCCCUUGACUUUGGGAUAACUUCAGGAAACUGGGGCUAAUCCCGGAUAGGAGCUCCUGCUGCAUGGUGGGGGUUGGAACGUUUCGGCGGUUGGGGAUGGACUCGCGGCUUAUCAGCUUGUUGGUGGGGUGGUGGCUUACCAAGGCUUUGACGGGUAGCCGGCCUGUGAGGGUGACCGGCCACAUUGGGACUGAGGUACGGCCCAGGCUCCUACGGGAGGCAGCAGUGGGGAACAUUGCACAAGGGGCGGAAGCCUGAUGCAGCAACGCCGCGUGCGGGAUGACGGCCUUCGGGUUGUAAACCGCUUUCGCCUGUGACGAAGCGUGAGUGACGGUAAUGGGUAAAGAAGCACCGGCUAACUACGUG
RNAcentral lists this ribosomal RNA (468 nucleotides) under uncultured bacterium. Its description in RNAcentral is "partial 16S ribosomal RNA". It matches the Rfam family "Bacterial small subunit ribosomal RNA", at positions 28 to 507 of the family's 1533-position model. The record is from RNAcentral.